CAGCAGUUAGGAAUCUUCCGCAAUGGACGGAAGUCUGACGGAGCGACGCCGCUUGGAGGAGGAAGCCCUUCGGGGUGUAAACUCCUGAACUGGGGACGAAAGCCCUGUGUAGGGGGAUGACGGUACCCAGGUAAUAGCGCCGGCCAACUCCGUGCCAGCAGCCGCGGUAAUACGGAGGGCGCGAGCGUUACCCGGAUUUACUGGGCGUAAAGGGCGUGUAGGCGGCCUGGGGCGUCCCAUGUGAAAGGCCACGGCUCAACCGUGGAGGAGCGUGGGAUACGCUCAGGCUAGAGGGUGGGAGAGGGUGGUGGAAUUCCCGGAGUAGCGGUGAAAUGCGCAGAUACCGGGAGGAACGCCGAUGGCGAAGGCAGCCACCUGGUCCACUUCUGACGCUGAGGCGCGAAAGCGUGGGGAGCAAACCGGAUUAGA
This 429-nucleotide ribosomal RNA is filed under the name uncultured Thermus sp. RNAcentral describes it as "bacterial SSU rRNA". It matches the Rfam family "Bacterial small subunit ribosomal RNA", at positions 349 to 782 of the family's 1533-position model. The record is from RNAcentral. Lineage: Bacteria; Thermotogati; Deinococcota; Deinococci; Thermales; Thermaceae.